AAGUCGUAACAAGGUCUCCGUUGGUGAACCAGCGGAGGGAUCAUUAAUGAGUUGCAAAACUCCAACCAUCGCGAAUAUCACCUAUUGCAGUUGCUUCGGCGGGUGGCUCUGAGAGGAGUCACGCUCCCUUACGGGGAGCAUGCCCGCCGGAGUCGUACAAACUCUGUAUUUUUUGGCAUCUCUGAGUAACUUUUACAAUAAGUUAAAACUUUCAACAACGGAUCUCUUGGUUCUG
This 235-nucleotide unclassified non-coding RNA is filed under the name fungal sp. RNAcentral's name for it is "partial internal transcribed spacer region". The stretch from base 1 to 46 matches the Rfam family "Eukaryotic small subunit ribosomal RNA", at positions 1786 to 1831 of the family's 1831-position model. Lineage: Eukaryota; Fungi. RNAcentral also lists the same sequence under 1 other name. The record is from RNAcentral.